AUGUCCUACUCUCACUGACACCAAGUUCAAUUACAAACCUGUUGCCAGUUUCAACACACUACCAGGUACCACAGUAUCUAUCGAAUGCAUAACAGGUUUUCUGUCUAACAAUAGAAUGGAAGUCACCCAGUCUACAUGCCAGGGCAAUGGAAGGUGGCAACCAAGGCAACCUUUAUGUGAAAGGUGCCUCUUGAAUUGCAAUGACACUAAUGUGGUGGAUUGUCAUCAUGUAGCGGGAACAGCAGCGGUCAACUGUAUUUGUGGACAAAACCUCCAAUGGACCAUGGGCAAAUGUCAACCAACACAUUGUCCAGAGUUAAACUCUACAACAGUGAUGACUAUACCCAGGAGUACUACUGGUAGUGGCAUUACUGUAUCAUGUACGCUUGGUUUCCAUACUAUCUCAAAGCCGUCUUCAGUGACUUGCCAAGCUAAUGGAACAUGGACUACACUACCAUCUU
Sycon ciliatum is the source of this 461-nucleotide long non-coding RNA. RefSeq lists it as uncharacterized. The transcript has 3 exons. NCBI's taxonomy places the organism in Eukaryota, Metazoa, Porifera, Calcarea, Leucosolenida, Sycettidae. The record is from RefSeq and is a predicted model, not a curated record.